Molecule: ribosomal RNA, 501 nt
Filed under: uncultured bacterium
Lineage: Bacteria
Description: partial 16S ribosomal RNA
Rfam family: Bacterial small subunit ribosomal RNA
Source: RNAcentral
AUUGAACGCUGGCGGCAUGCCUUACACAUGCAAGUCGAACGGCAGCACGGGUGCUUGCACCUGGUGGCGAGUGGCGAACGGGUGAGUAAUACAUCGGAACGUACCUUAUCGUGGGGGAUAACGCAGCGAAAGCUGUGCUAAUCCCGCAUACGCCCUGAGGGGGAAAGCGGGGGAUCGCAAGACCUCGCGCGAUUAGAGCGGCCGAUGCCGGAUUAGCUUGUGGGUGGGGUAAAAGCCCACCAAGGCGACGAUCAGUAGCUGGUCUGAGAGGACGAUCAGCCACACUGGGACUGAGACACGGCCCAGACUCCUACGGGAGGCAGCAGUGGGGAAUUUUGGACAAUGGGGGCAACCCUGAUCCAGCAAUGCCGCGUGAGUGAAGAAGGCCUUCGGGUUGUAAAGCUCUUUUGUCAGGGAAGAAACACCGGCUCUAACACAGUCCGGGAAUGACGGUACCUGAAGAAUAAGCACCGGCUAACUACGUGCCAGCCGCCGCCGUAA